GCGAAAGUGGCGGAAUUGGUAGACGCACUGGAUUUAGGUUCCAGCGCCGCAAGGCGUGCGGGUUCGAGUCCCGCCUUUCGCACCA
RNAcentral lists this transfer RNA (85 nucleotides) under Lysobacter enzymogenes. Its description in RNAcentral is "tRNA-Leu". It matches the Rfam family "tRNA". From Rfam's summary of the family: Transfer RNA (tRNA) molecules are approximately 80 nucleotides in length. The record is from RNAcentral. Lineage: Bacteria; Pseudomonadati; Pseudomonadota; Gammaproteobacteria; Lysobacterales; Lysobacteraceae. RNAcentral also lists the same sequence under 8 other names.